Molecule: unclassified non-coding RNA, 395 nt
Filed under: soil metagenome
Description: partial contains 5.8S ribosomal RNA, internal transcribed spacer 2, and large subunit ribosomal RNA
Rfam family: 5.8S ribosomal RNA (bases 1-122)
Source: RNAcentral
GAUGAAGAACGUAGCGAAAUGCGAUACUUGGUGUGAAUUGCAGAAUCCCGUGAACCAUCGAGUCUUUGAACGCAAGUUGCGCCCGAAGCCAUCAGGUUGAGGGCACGUCAGCCUGGGCGUCACAUAUCGUUGCCCAAUGCCUAUUGCAGUGCAAUAGGAAUUUCUAGGGCGAAUGAUGGCUUCCCGUGAGCGUUGUUGCCUCGCGGUUGGUUGAAAAUCGAGUCCUUGGUAGGGUGUGCCAUGGUAGAUGGUGGUCGAGUUAGAACGAUACCGAUCAUGUGCAUGCUCCCCAAAAUAUGGCCUCUAUGACCCACACGCGUCUUUUGACGCUCAUGACGAGACCUCAGGUCAGGCGGGGCUACCCGCUGAAUUUAAGCAUAUCAAUAAGCGGAGGA